Molecule: small RNA, 132 nt
Filed under: Escherichia coli
Lineage: Bacteria; Pseudomonadati; Pseudomonadota; Gammaproteobacteria; Enterobacterales; Enterobacteriaceae
Description: RtT sRNA
Rfam family: RtT RNA
About the family: This family represents a bacterial cis-regulatory element known as RtT RNA. The exact function of RtT is unknown although it is thought that it may be involved in changing the cellular response in relation to amino acid starvation.
Source: RNAcentral
GUUCGCACUCAUCGCGGAAGGGUGAGAACCUUCGACUAAGGUUCGAUUCGAGCGAAAGCGAGAGAACGUUGCCACAGGCAACGGCCCGAAGGGUGAGGAGCGAAGCGACGAAUAAUCCUUCCCCCACCACUA